GACGAACGCUGGCGGCGUGCCUAAUACAUGCAAGUAGAACGCUGAAGAGAGGAGCUUGCUCUUCUUGGAUGAGUUGCGAACGGGUGAGUAACGCGUAGGUAACCUGCCUUGUAGCGGGGGAUAACUAUUGGAAACGAUAGCUAAUACCGCAUAACAAUGGCUGACACAUGUCAUUUAUUUGAAAGGGGCAAUUGCUCCACUACAAGAUGGACCUGCGUUGUAUUAGCUAGUAGGUGAGGUAAUGGCUCACCUAGGCGACGAUACAUAGCCGACCUGAGAGGGUGAUCGGCCACACUGGGACUGAGACACGGCCCAGACUCCUACGGGAGGCAGCAGUAGGGAAUCUUCGGCAAUGGGGGCAACCCUGACCGAGCAACGCCGCGUGAGUGAAGAAGGUUUUCGGAUCGUAAAGUUCUGUUGUAAGUCAAGAACGGGUGUGAGAGUGGAAAGUUCACACUGUGACGGUAGCUUACCAGAAAGGGACGGCUAACUACGUG
Molecule: ribosomal RNA, 497 nt
Filed under: uncultured bacterium
Lineage: Bacteria
Description: partial 16S ribosomal RNA
Rfam family: Bacterial small subunit ribosomal RNA
Source: RNAcentral